Molecule: ribosomal RNA, 448 nt
Filed under: uncultured bacterium
Lineage: Bacteria
Description: bacterial SSU rRNA
Rfam family: Bacterial small subunit ribosomal RNA
Source: RNAcentral
GCCAGACUCCUACGGGAGGCAGCAGUGGGGGAUAUUGGACAAUGGGGGGAACCCUGAUCCAGCGACGCCGCGUGAGUGAAGAAGUAUCUCGGUAUGUAAAGCUCUAUCAGCAGGGAAGAAGAAAUGACGGUACCUGACUAAGAAGCCCCGGCUAACUACGUACCAGCAGCCGCGGUAAUACGUAGGGGGCAAGCGUUAUCCGGAUUUACUGGGUGUAAAGGGAGCGUAGACGGUUACGCAAGUCUGGAGUGAAAGGCGGGGGCCCAACCCCCGGACUGCUUUGGGAACUGUUUUGCUGGAGUAUGGGAGGGGUAAGCGGAAUUCCUGGUGUAGCGGUGAAAUGCGUAGAUAUCAGGAGGAACACCGGUGGCGAAGGCGGCUUACUGGACCAUAACUGACGUUGAGGCUCGAAAGCGUGGGGAGCGAACAGGAUUAGAUACCCUCGUAA